GGAGAGGUGGCUGAGUGGCUGAAAGCGACGGUUUGCUAAACCGUUAUACGGGGUCAUGCCCGUAUCCCGGGUUCGAAUCCCGGCCUCUCCG
RNAcentral lists this transfer RNA (91 nucleotides) under Phycisphaerales bacterium. RNAcentral describes it as "tRNA-Ser". It matches the Rfam family "tRNA". From Rfam's summary of the family: Transfer RNA (tRNA) molecules are approximately 80 nucleotides in length. Their secondary structure includes four short double-helical elements and three loops (D, anti-codon, and T loops). The record is from RNAcentral. Lineage: Bacteria; Pseudomonadati; Planctomycetota; Phycisphaerae; Phycisphaerales.